AAGUCGUAACAAGGUUCCCGUAGGUGAACCUGCGGAAGGAUCAUUAACACGUAUCCAAACGUUAAAACCCCCCCCGUGAACCUUCAUCCUGCUCUUGUAACCCGCGUAGUUCGCAAUCUCUGAUAAAUCAUAGUCCGGAAAGUUGUAGUGAUUCAGAGACCUCUGGCUACGUGCGAACAUUGGAUCGGAAAGUGUCAUUGAUUGUGCAAGGAUAGCGCUUCUACGAUUCCUGUAGACCGUACACUCGGGCAGGAGCUUUGCCAAAGGGUCCCCAUGCCCCCUAAUAACCCCACAGUUUAAUGUGAAGCUCAAUGUAAUACAUUGGGUAGAAAAACCGAACAACUGUUAACAAUGGAUAUCUUGGUUCUC
This 369-nucleotide unclassified non-coding RNA is filed under the name fungal sp. RNAcentral describes it as "partial internal transcribed spacer region". The stretch from base 1 to 46 matches the Rfam family "Eukaryotic small subunit ribosomal RNA", at positions 1786 to 1831 of the family's 1831-position model. The record is from RNAcentral. Lineage: Eukaryota; Fungi.